This 380-nucleotide ribosomal RNA is filed under the name uncultured bacterium. Its description in RNAcentral is "bacterial SSU rRNA". It matches the Rfam family "Bacterial small subunit ribosomal RNA", at positions 28 to 412 of the family's 1533-position model. The record is from RNAcentral.
GACGAACGCUGGCGGCGUGCUUAACACAUGCAAGUCGAGCGGUAAGGCCCUUUUGGGGGUACACGAGCGGCGAACGGGUGAGUAACACGUGGGUGACCUGCCCUCAGCUCUGGGAUAAGCCUGGGAAACUGGGUCUAAUACUGGAUAUGACCUUUCCUCGCAGUGGGGUUGGGUGGAAAGUUUUUCGGCUGGGGAUGGGCCCGCGGCCUAUCAGCUUGUUGGUGGGGUGAUGGCCUACCAAGGCGACGACGGGUAGCCGGCCUGAGAGGGCGACCGGCCACACUGGGACUGAGACACGGCCCAGACUCCUACGGGAGGCAGCAGUGGGAAUAUUGCGCAAUGGGCGGAAGCCUGACGCAGCGACGCCGCGUGGGGAUGAC